UACGUAGGUGGCAAGCGUUGUCCGGAUUUACUGGGCGUAAAGCGUAUGUAGGCGGAUGUUUAAGUAGGAAGUGAAAGGUCAGAGCUCAACUCUGACACUGCUCCCUAUACUGGGCAUCUUGAGGGCCGGAGAGGAAAGCGGAACGACACGUGUAGCGGUGAAAUGCGUAGAUAUCGGGAAGAACACCAAAGGCGAAAGCGCUCUGCUGGGCCGAAACUGACACUGAGAGACGAAAGCUAGGGGAGCGAAUGGG
This 253-nucleotide ribosomal RNA is filed under the name uncultured bacterium. Its description in RNAcentral is "partial 16S ribosomal RNA". It matches the Rfam family "Bacterial small subunit ribosomal RNA", at positions 524 to 776 of the family's 1533-position model. The record is from RNAcentral.